Molecule: transfer RNA, 67 nt
Filed under: Schistosoma mansoni
Lineage: Eukaryota; Metazoa; Platyhelminthes; Trematoda; Strigeidida; Schistosomatidae
Source: RNAcentral
UUUCACAGUGGACAGACGCUGUUCCACUCGUCUUACUAGGUAUCCGCAAUGCAUUAAAGGCUGACAU